Molecule: transfer RNA, 72 nt
Filed under: Bos taurus (domestic cattle)
Lineage: Eukaryota; Metazoa; Chordata; Mammalia; Artiodactyla; Bovidae
Also listed under: 2 other names
Rfam family: tRNA
About the family: Transfer RNA (tRNA) molecules are approximately 80 nucleotides in length.
Source: Rfam by way of RNAcentral
UCCCUGGUGGCUUAGUAGGUGAAGAGUCUGCCUGCAAUGCAGGAGACCUGGGUUUGAUCCCUGGGUUGGGAA